AGACCAUUGUCCUGGAGACUAAAGACGGCUAUUUAGGACUUACAUUUAAUUCUAAGUUUCUUAGAUAAGAAAUCUCAAAAAAAAAAAAAAAAAAAGAAUGAUCAUACAUUGCUAACAUGGAGAAGCCCAAACAGAGCUUAUAGGACUAUGAUCAGGGAAUUUGUGGAAAAGGCCACAUGGCAACAGGCUCACACUACAAACUCCAUCUAAAGGAUGCAGCAUUUUUCUGUUUAAAAGCAUAGGAAGGUUAACCUUCCUCGUGGCCCAGACUUUCUACUAUGCCGAACUUUGUGCAGCCCUGCUGGAUGCUCUGGGGAAAGAUGCAACGCCAAGCCUACUCCAUUUACGCAGGCAGACACUGCAGUCUGGGAAAGCCUCCAUUCAGAGAGCUGCCUCUGACUUUCCAAAGUGCGGCCGUGCAUGCCUUUCCUCACAGGCUGAGAAUGAGGAGAAUUGAGGGUGCAGUUGAACUCGCUGAAGGUAGACUUCUCCGACAAGGGCUGAAAUCAGACUGCCAAGACCCACAGAUAAAGUGCAGAAUCAUUGGAGACUUUAGGAAAGCAGAGACAAACAGGAAGACCUCUUCAACAUUAAUGGAAAGAGUUAUAACUGCAGCAGAAGCAGAUCCAAGACCUGCAACCUGGACCUAAGAGUCAGGGGCACAGACGUGUACUCAGCAAGAACGCAGGUCAACAAGAGACCCAAGAACCACCUUGAUACCCUCUGUGCAAAGGGAAUCAUCGCACCUGACUUUCCAUCAAGCCUGCACCAGCACAGAGCAUGAGCAGCCUGUGCUGAAGCCAGACGGGCAAAGACUCUCAGAAAACUCACCCUACCUGGUCCACACCUACAUCCAUGCAGGAACUCAUGAACUCCAGGGGCAUUUCUCUAAAAGUAAAUAGACAGACAUUUCACUGGGGAUUCGAACAUGGGAAUAGCUAACCUUUCUUUCUAUAGCCAACGGUUCCUUCAUCCAGUGAUGGAUGGUGCACCCCACGUGGGAGAGUAACAAUCACUCAAGGGCUAGGUGCUCCCGUCUCCAAGGCUCUGCUUAUUGCUAGGAGAAUUCCUGAUGGAAGGACACGUAGCCCUCCUCCAGAAUCCAGGACAACAUUUUUCAUUGUGAAAAGAACUCUCACUUAUGAACGCCUGAAGCUUACACUGGGCCUUUCUCCCAGCAUCCACUGCCUCAGGGUACCAUACUGAGAUGCAGGGGGAAUCAUUAGUCAACAGCUAUAUAGCUAGACUAGGGGAUAAACAAAACUUUUAUUGAUGCUGUUGUUUAAUUCUGCCAUCUACCCAACAGUAAUAAAGUGAAUAAGUAAAGAGCCAGGUAUAAAAGACAGAGAGGUGUCAUCUGAGAUUAAGCAAGGGGAACCUGGGGACAGAGGUCCCACCUGGCCUGUCCAUUCAGCAGAUGUAUGUCUGAGCACAUCAUCUGUCUGCCUUUGGUCCCCACUUACUCAGCCAAAGCACAAGGGGAUUGAAUCAGAGGAUCCCCUUAGCUAGAAAAUAUAGUGAAUCUAUAUCUAUAUGUAUUCUUCUUUAUUUUUUCUUUUUAAAAGCAGCCACAUGGGAAGAAGGUCUAGGAAGUUCCAUUGCACCUCAGAGAGUAUGACUGGCAACUUUGGGUUGAGAGCCCCUUGGUGAAAAUGUUAACAACCAACUUCAGUACUUGACAAAUGGAGAGUUAAAAUAAAUCAUGCUGCCCCAAUAAAUAAAGGUUCAGCAUUUGA
Eptesicus fuscus (big brown bat) is the source of this 1736-nucleotide long non-coding RNA. RefSeq lists it as uncharacterized. The transcript is spliced from 3 exons. The record is from RefSeq and is a predicted model, not a curated record. Lineage: Eukaryota; Metazoa; Chordata; Mammalia; Chiroptera; Vespertilionidae.